UACGGGGGGGGGGCAAGCGUUGUUCGGAAUUACUGGGCGUAAAGGGCUCGUAGGCGGCCAACUAAGUCAGACGUGAAAUCCCCUCGGCUUAACCAGGGAACUGCGUCUGAUACUGGAUGGCUUGAGUGCGGGAGAGGAUGGUGGAAUUCCCAGUGUAGAGGUGAAAUUCGUAGAUAUUGGGAAGAACACCAGUGGCGAAGGCGGCUCACUGGCCCGUAACUGACGCUGAGGUGCGAAAGCGUGGGGAGCAAACAGG
This 256-nucleotide ribosomal RNA is filed under the name uncultured bacterium. Its description in RNAcentral is "partial 16S ribosomal RNA". It matches the Rfam family "Bacterial small subunit ribosomal RNA", at positions 522 to 776 of the family's 1533-position model. The record is from RNAcentral.